CAAAGUGUGGUGACGCAAAACUGAAAACCCGAACUCCUAAACCCUGCGAAGCCACGAGCCAUGGUUGGUGGUGAGAGAGAGUGCGUGUUCAUUUCAUAGAAGAAGAAGAAGAAGGAAUGGGAAUAUUCGAACCUUUUAGAGCCAUUGGAUGCAUAACAAGCGGUGUCCCUGUUUCAGUUCAGAGACUCGGCACCGAAACUUUCGUCACUGUCAGCGUUGGAAAGGCCUUUCAGAUUUUCAACUGUGCGAAGCUCAAUUUGCUUGAUCAGAGUUUUAGCCCCAGCUGUAUAAUGCAUCCUGAUACUUACCUAAAUAAGGUUCUCGUUGGGAGCGAGCAAGGUCCUAUGCAGCUUUGGAACAUUAGCACAAAGAAAAAGAUAUUUGAGUUUAAGGGAUGGGAUUCACCGAUCACCUGCUGUGUUUCCUCCCCUGCUCUAGAUGUCGUUGCAGUUGGGUGUGCAGAUGGAAGCGUUCAUGUUCAUAACAUUCGUUAUGAUGAAGAAUUGGUUACAUUUACACAUUCUACACGAGGUUCUGUCACUGCCUUAUCUUUCUGCACUGAUGGGCAACCCCUUCUAGCCUCUGGAGGUUCAUCAGGUGUCAUAAGCGUAUGGAAUCUGGAAAAGAAAAGGCUCCAGUCAGUUGUAAGAGAGGCUCAUGAUAGUGUGAUCACAUCACUACAUUUUUUUGCAAAUGAGCCAGUGCUUAUGAGUUCUUCAGCAGAUAAUUCUAUUAAGAUGUGGAUUUUCGAUACGACUGAUGGUGACCCUCGUCUUUUGCGCUUUCGAAGCGGCCAUAGUGCUCCUCCCCUUUGCAUAAAGUUUUAUGCAAAUGGAAGACAUAUUCUCUCUGCUGGUCAGGAUCGUGCAUUUCGGCUUUUCUCUGUAGUUCAGGAUCAACAAAGUAGAGAGCUUUCUCAGCACAAUGUUUCUAGACGAGCCAAGAAACUUAAAGUAAAGGAAGAAGAAAUAAAGUUGAAGCCCGUGAUUGCAUUUGAUUGUGCUGAAAUUCGAGAACGUGAUUGGUGCAACGUAGUUACUUGUCAUAUGGAUACUGCUCAGGCAUAUGUGUGGAGACUUCAAAAUUUUGUUCUUGGUGAACAUAUAUUGAAUCCCUGCCCAGAAAAUCCAACACCUGUAAAGGCUUGCGCCAUCAGUGCAUGUGGCAAUUUCGCCAUCCUAGGGACAGCAGGUGGUUGGAUUGAAAGGUUUAACCUACAAUCUGGACUACCUCGGGGUGCUUACAUUGACAUGUCAGAAUCACUAAGGUGUGCUCAUGACAGUGAAGUGGUUGGAGUCGCAUGUGACUCAACUAACACUCUCAUGAUAAGUGCAGGAUAUCAAGGAGAUAUAAAGGUUUGGGAUUUCAAAGAACGUGAACUUAAAUCCAGAUGGGAGAUUGGUUCUUCUGUUGUUAAGAUUGUUUAUCAUCGUUAUAACGGUCUCCUGGCUACGGUAGCAAAUGAUUUAGCAAUCAGAUUGUUUGAUGUUGUGGCUCUUAGAUUAGUUCGCAAGUUUGAUGGUCACACUGAUCGCAUUACAGACUUGUGCUUCAGUGAGGAUGGGAAGUGGCUUUUGUCAUCUAGUAUGGAUGGAAGUCUUAGAAUUUGGGAUGUGAUCUUAGCAAGACAGAUAGAUGCAAUUCAAGUUAAUGUGCCUAUUACAGCAUUAUCUCUUUCCCCAAACAUGGAUAUAUUAGCAACUGCUCAUGUUGAUCAAAAUGGGGUAUACCUGUGGGUAAACCAAACAAUGUUCUCUAGUACUUCAACUGUUGAUUCAUAUGCAAGUGGGAAAGAGGUGGUGAGUGUCAAGUUGCCAUCUAUAUCUUCCACAGAACAUUCUCAAGUUGAGCAGUUGGAUGAGGUGGUGAAUGCUUCUCAACCUAAAGAUGCUCCACAUGUUCCAAGUCAAGUUAAUCAAAUACCUGAUUUGGUCACACUCUCACUGCUGCCAAAGAGCCAGUGGCAAAGCUUGAUUAAUUUAGACAUUAUAAAGAUACGCAAUAAACCUAUUGAGCCUCCAAAGAAACCCGAAAAAGCCCCAUUUUUCUUGCCUUCAGUUCCAUCCCUAUCUGGAGAAAUAUUGUUUGAGCCUGGUAAGUUAUCAGUUGAAGAGAGGGAUGGUAAACAAAUGAAAAAGACAAGAUUAGAUUCGACGUCAUCCUGUUUUCUGCAUCUUCUUCAAUCCUCAAACGUUUCAGAUAACUAUGGCGCAUUCACUGAUUAUAUCAAAGGAUUAUCUCCGUCAACUCUGGAUAUGGAACUUCGAAUGCUUCAGAUAAUUGACGACAAUGAUGAUGAACAAGGUGAGAAUAGACCGGAGUUAGUAUCGAUUAAACAGCUUAUGGAUUAUUUCAUCCAUGAGCUCUCCUGCAGAAAUAAUUUCGAGUUCCUACAAGCUGUCAUCAGGUUAUUUUUGAAGAUACAUGGUGAGACGAUUCGGCAGCAUUCACACUUACAAGAAAAGGCUCGGAAGCUUCUUGAUAUUCAGUGCAAUGUGUGGCAGAGGGUAGAUAAAAUGUUUCAAAGUGUAAGAUGCGUGGUUGGCUUUCUUAGUAAUUCCCAUAUUUAGUUAUGACAAAGCCCUCAAUUUCGAAACUUCAAUUAACGGCCAUUGAGUAAUAUAGACAAGAUGAAAGCAAAUUGGUCAAAUCUGGUGGAUGAGGUUUAUACCAAGGAAUUAUAGUUUUGCAUACUAGGCUCCAUAGUCCAUACACGAGCAUUGAGAAAAUUUCGAAACAAGAUUUUGUAUCAGUAAAAUUGCAACUUAUUGAUUCCAUGAGUGAUUUAUUCAAUAGAAAUUUUACAGCUUUAAUGUUC
Non-coding RNA from Arachis ipaensis, 2818 nucleotides. Lineage: Eukaryota; Viridiplantae; Streptophyta; Magnoliopsida; Fabales; Fabaceae. The record is from RefSeq and is a predicted model, not a curated record.